Molecule: long non-coding RNA, 599 nt
Organism: Sphaeramia orbicularis (orbiculate cardinalfish)
Lineage: Eukaryota; Metazoa; Chordata; Actinopteri; Kurtiformes; Apogonidae
Exons: 3
Source: RefSeq, a predicted model, not a curated record
GAAGUUUGCCAACAGCCUGAAACUGAGCCGCAGCACGGUGGCCAUGACCAAACAGUGGAUUAACAGGACAGGUUCCACUCAGAACAGGCCUCACCACGGUCGACCAAAGAAGUUGAGUGCACACGCUCAGUGACAUAUCCAGAGGUUGUCUUUGGAAAAUAGACAUAUGAGUGCUGCCAGUAUUGCUGCAGAGGUUGACGGGGUGGGGGAUCAGCCAGUCAGUGCUCAGACCAUACAACACACACUGCAUCAAAUUGGUCUGCAUGGCCGUCAUCCCAGAAGGAAGCCUCUUCUAAAGAUGAUGCAAAAGAAAGCCUGCAAGCAGUUCACUAAAGACAAGCAGACUAAGGACAUGGAUUACUGGAACCAUGUCCUGUGGUCUGAUGAGACCGAGAUAAACUUAUUUGGUUCAGAUGGUGUCAAGUGUGUGUGAUGGCAACCAGGUGAGGAGUACAAAGACAAGUGUCUUGCCUACAGUCAAGCGUGGUGGUGGGAGUGUCAUGGUCUGGAGCUGCAUGAGUGCUGCCGGCACUGGGGAGCUACAGUUCAUUGAGGGAACCAUGAAUACCAGCAUGUACUUGAUACCGUCGCUUUGGAAA